GAUGAACGCUGGCGGCGUGCCUAAUACAUGCAAGUCGAGCGAACAGACGAGGAGCUUUCUCCUCUUACGUUAGCGGCGGACGGGUGAGUGACACGUGGAUAACCUACCUAUAAGACUGGGAUAACUUCGGGAAACCGGAGCUAAUACCCGAUAAUAUAUUCAACCGCAUGGUUCAAUAGUGACAGGCGUUUUUGCUGUCACUUAUAGAUGGAUCCGGGCCGCAGUAGCUAGUUGGUAAGGUAACGGCUUACCAAGGCGACGAUGCGUAGCCGACCUGAGAGGGUGAUCGGCCACACUGGAACUGAGACACGGUCCAGACUCCUACGGGAGGCAGCAGUAGGGAAUCUUGCGCAAUGGGCGAAAGCCUGACGGAGCAACGCCGCGUGAGUGAUGAAGGUCUUCGGAUCGUAAAACUCUGUUAGUAGGGAAGAACAAAUGUGUAAGUAACUAUGCACGUAUUGACGGUACCUAAUCAGAAAGCCACGGCUAACUACGUG
This 497-nucleotide ribosomal RNA is filed under the name uncultured bacterium. RNAcentral's name for it is "partial 16S ribosomal RNA". It matches the Rfam family "Bacterial small subunit ribosomal RNA", at positions 28 to 507 of the family's 1533-position model. The record is from RNAcentral.